RNAcentral lists this ribosomal RNA (389 nucleotides) under Enterobacter sp. SB2-2. RNAcentral's name for it is "bacterial SSU rRNA". It matches the Rfam family "Bacterial small subunit ribosomal RNA", at positions 143 to 528 of the family's 1533-position model. Lineage: Bacteria; Pseudomonadati; Pseudomonadota; Gammaproteobacteria; Enterobacterales; Enterobacteriaceae. The record is from RNAcentral.
CGAACUACUGGAACGGUAGCUAAUACCGCAUAACGUCGCAAGACCAAAGAGGGGGACCUUCGGGCCUCUUGCCAUCAGAUGUGCCCAGAUGGGAUUAGCUAGUAGGUGGGGUAACGGCUCACCUAGGCGACGAUCCCUAGCUGGUCUGAGAGGAUGACCAGCCACACUGGAACUGAGACACGGUCCAGACUCCUACGGGAGGCAGCAGUGGGGAAUAUUGCACAAUGGGCGCAAGCCUGAUGCAGCCAUGCCGCGUGUAUGAAGAAGGCCUUCGGGUUGUAAAGUACUUUCAGCGGGGAGGAAGGUGUUGUGGUUAAUAACCGCAGCAAUUGACGUUACCCGCAGAAGAAGCACCGGCUAACUCCGUGCCAGCAGCCGCGGUAAUACGA